This 861-nucleotide ribosomal RNA is filed under the name Triticum aestivum (bread wheat). RNAcentral describes it as "partial small subunit ribosomal RNA". Lineage: Eukaryota; Viridiplantae; Streptophyta; Magnoliopsida; Poales; Poaceae. The record is from RNAcentral.
AUGGUGGAGCUAGAGGAGCCAGUUGGUCUCUGUGACUUGCCAGCAACUGACCCUCCUAAUACUAAGAGAAAGAAGGGGAGGGCAAUAAAGGAUUUUUCAGAGUGGAUAGAGAAAGAGCCUCCCGUGAAUUGGUCUUUGUUGCAUGACACCCAUGGAGCUAGGUAUGGCCACAUGACAACCAACCUUGCAGAGGUGUAUAACUUUGUACUCAGAGGGAAUAGAGCAUUGCCACUCACAGCUAUUGUGGAGGCUGUAUUCCAUGGCACUUUGAGAUAUUUCAGAGACCGACACGAGUUAGCAAAGAAGCAUAUUAUAGAUAAUCAGAACACACCUUACUGUAGCCGUGUCAUGGAGUAUAUGGCAGAGAAGAUAGAGAAAGCAAAGAAGCACACUGUGAGACUCGUAGGUAAUCAGGAAAGGAGGUAUGAGGUUCAGCUACCUACCGAUGGUUUUGGUUCUGCGAAUGAGGUGAAGACGCAUGAGGUAAAAACUGGAACGGGAUUUUAUCCAACGUGUGAGUGUACAUGCAACAAACCAAAGUUGUUGCACCUGCCUUGCUCACAUGUGUUGCCUGCCUGUGGCCAGAUUGAGUUGGUUGCCGUCUCCUUUGUGUCGCCAUACUACUUAAAAGAGGCUGUACUGAACACAUGGACCGGUGAGAUGACAGGGUUUAGAGUCGUUGGCAAUUUCAACAAGGUUAACGACGGUGAGAGAGUAUACAUCCCGGAUCCAGAACUUCGGCGAACAAGCAGGGGUCGACGUAAGGCCCGUCGAAUCCGAAAUGAUAUGGACCAAUCUGAAGCUGGUGGAGCAACCAGACAAUGUUUGCUAUGCGCGGCUUAUGGGCAUAGAAUGAAAUAU